CCACUGCUGAGGAGUCCCAUACCAGGACGAAACGGCCGUUCAGUGC
RNAcentral lists this non-coding RNA (46 nucleotides) under Schistosoma margrebowiei. The record is from RNAcentral. Lineage: Eukaryota; Metazoa; Platyhelminthes; Trematoda; Strigeidida; Schistosomatidae.